Molecule: long non-coding RNA, 1063 nt
Organism: Helianthus annuus (common sunflower)
Lineage: Eukaryota; Viridiplantae; Streptophyta; Magnoliopsida; Asterales; Asteraceae
Exons: 3
Source: RefSeq, a predicted model, not a curated record
UGCGUGGCUGGGAUCGAACAAACAGGGGGGAAAGCAAGGUGAAACCCUUGUUUUGCAUAUUCAAUCAAUUGAUGUGAAAAUUCAAGGAUAAUCUAGUGCAUGAACUUCAAUUUACACUCAUCUAAACUCGAAUAUUGAAGUGGCGUGAAAGAAGAAGGUUCAAACACUAGGAAAUCGGAAGGCUCACAAGAUCGAGGUAAAUCCUCAACAUAAGCGAUUGGACGAUUUGGAACGAGCACACAUGAUCUAUGCCCACCUCACGCUUCCGACAAUGCUAACUUAAUGUGGUCUUAAUUUUUGGUUUUAUGUACUUUCAACUUAUGUAGUCUUUUGAUGUCCUUGUAGUAUGGUCAAUGACUUUGUCGUAGUAGUCUUGUUUUUUUAACAAUGUAGAUAAUGUCCGUUUCCGGUUUUGAAAAGGUCUUUUAUGUUGUAGUAUUUUACCGUCUAAAACAGGAAUUAGUGGUUUAAAUACGAUUGGGUCAUGCCGAAAAUUUCAAAAUUUUCCUACAUAUUAUAGUCUUUUAAAAAGAAAAGUUAGGGGCCUUAUAAGUUUAUCAGAGUCGAGGUUUGAGGGAUUCAAGCACAAGUUGUAGUGCUUGAACUCAAACUAUCGGCUCGCUCGAAAGUGUGCUCGCUCCAAGAUCGCCAAUGAGGUAAACAUUUAAGUUUUGGUAAAUGCAAGUAUGUAUAAUGUGCUUGUGAUAUAAAUAUUUAAGAUAAGUAUGUGAAGAAGAAACUAUGGGGGGUGAAACGGGGAGUUCCAGGAACCGUAUGGCUGGAAACGGACCCGGAAAAGGAUUAAAUAACCCUGAAAAAGAUCUACAGCGAAACGACAACAGGCAAGCCGUCGCCAACACCGGACCUGUGCGUCGCCGACGCCCCUACUUGGGCUGACGCCUUAAUUUCCUGUCUGCGGGGUUCUUCAGCUGACGCACAUUUUAAGCGCCGUCGCCGACGGGCUUCUUGGCCGUCGCCGACGCUGAGUGUAAACUCAGCAUGCUAUUUUGUGUUGUUUUUCGCACUUGGAGUUUCCGAGUUAUCCGAAAGCCAAUUCAAUGAU